RNAcentral lists this ribosomal RNA (465 nucleotides) under uncultured bacterium. Its description in RNAcentral is "bacterial SSU rRNA". It matches the Rfam family "Bacterial small subunit ribosomal RNA", at positions 329 to 792 of the family's 1533-position model. The record is from RNAcentral.
UACCAGACUCCUACGGGAGGCAGCAGUGAGGAAUAUUGGUCAAUGGGCGAGAGCCUGAACCAGCCAAGUCGCGUGAGGGAGUACUGCCCUAUGGGUUGUAAACCUCUUUUGCCGGGGAGCAAAAGCCGGACGUGUCCGUCUGUGAGAGUACCCGAAGAAAAAGCAUCGGCUAACUCCGUGCCAGCAGCCGCGGUAAUACGUAGGGAGCAAGCGUUGUCCGGAAUUACUGGGCGUAAAGGGCGCGUAGGUGGGCGCUUAAGUCAGGUGUGAAAACUCCGGGCUCAACCUGGAGACUGCACUUGAAACUGGGUGUCUUGAGGGCAGGAGAGGAAAGUGGAAUUCCUAGUGUAGCGGUGAAAUGCGUAGAUAUUAGGAGGAACACCAGUGGCGAAGGCGACUUUCUGGACUGUACCUGACGCUGAGGCGCGAAAGCGUGGGUAGCGAACGGGAUUAGAUACCCUGGUA